UACAGAGGGUGCAAGCGUUAAUCGGAAUUACUGGGCGUAAAGCGUGCGUAGUCGGUUAUCUAAGUCGGAUGUGAAAUCCCCGGGCUUAACCUGGGAAUGGCCAUGGAAACUGCCGAGCUGGAGUGCCGGAGGGGAGAGUGGAAUUCCGCGUGUAGCAGUGAAAUGCGUAGAUAUGCGGAGGAACACCGAUGGCGAAGGCAAUCCCCUGGGCCUGCACUGACGCUCAUGCACGAGAGCGUGGGGAGCAAACAGG
RNAcentral lists this ribosomal RNA (253 nucleotides) under uncultured bacterium. RNAcentral describes it as "partial 16S ribosomal RNA". It matches the Rfam family "Bacterial small subunit ribosomal RNA", at positions 524 to 776 of the family's 1533-position model. The record is from RNAcentral.